CGCGCCUUUGGCGUGGGGGAGCGCGGGAGGGACAACUUUAGGUAUCACCUGAAGACGUUCCACCGCAGCUCCGAAGCGCCGGACUUGCGCCAACGGGAUCGCGCAGCACGAACACUGUGCAUCCGCGCUACGUCAGAACGGGCGGCCCAGCGCUUAAGAGCGCCGCUGCUUCCGGAGGCCGCAGAGCCCGUGCUGUCGGCAAUCCGCCGCCGGGAGCGCGCCGCCCAGCUGCAGGAGGAGGAGGCCCUCCUGCCCGGGGAGGCGCACCCGGAGCGGGUGCUCCAGGCCUCCAUCCGCCUGGAUGGGCCUGACCACCCCCUAUUUUCCCAUCAC
This is a long non-coding RNA of Amphibalanus amphitrite, 333 nucleotides long. RefSeq lists it as uncharacterized. The record is from RefSeq and is a predicted model, not a curated record. The transcript has 3 exons. NCBI's taxonomy places the organism in Eukaryota, Metazoa, Arthropoda, Thecostraca, Balanomorpha, Balanidae.